RNAcentral lists this non-coding RNA (46 nucleotides) under Schistosoma mattheei. The record is from RNAcentral. Lineage: Eukaryota; Metazoa; Platyhelminthes; Trematoda; Strigeidida; Schistosomatidae.
GCACUGCUGAAGAGCCCCAAGAUAGGACGAAACGGCCGUCCAGUAC